UCGCGUUGUUCGUGAAAACUCACAGCUUAACUGUGGGCGUGCGGGCGAUACGGGCAGACUAGAGUACUGCAGGGGAGACUGGAAUUCCUGGUGUAGCGGUGGAAUGCGCAGAUAUCAGGAGGAACACCGGUGGCGAAGGCGGGUCUCUGGGCAGUAACUGACGCUGAGGAGCGAAAGCGUGGGGAGCGAACAGGAUUAGAUACCCUGGUAGUCCACGCCGUAAACGGUGGGUACUAGGUGUGGGUUCCUUCCUUGGGAUCCGUGCCGUAGCUAACGCAUUAAGUACCCCGCCUGGGGAGUACGGCCGCAAGGCUAAAGCUCAAAGGAAUUGACGGGGGCCCGCACAAGCGGCGGAGCAUGUGGAUUAAUUCGAUGCAACGCGAAGAACCUUACCUGGGUUUGACAUGCACAGGACGCCGGCAGAGAUGUCGGUUCCCUUGUGGCCUGUGUGCAGGUGGUGCAUGGCUGUCGUCAGCUCGUGUCGUGAGAUGUUGGGUUAAGUCCCGCAACGAGCGCAACCCUUGUCCUAUGUUGCCAGCGGGUUAUGCCGGGGACUCGUAGGAGACUGCCGGGGUCAACUCGGAGGAAGGUGGGGAUGACGUCAAGUCAUCAUGCCCCUUAUGUCCAGGGCUUCACACAUGCUACAAUGGCCGGUACAAAGGGCUGCGAUGCCGUGAGGUGGAGCGAAUCCUUUCAAAGCCGGUCUCAGUUCGGAUCGGGGUCUGCAACUCGACCCCGUGAAGUCGGAGUCGCUAGUA
Molecule: ribosomal RNA, 758 nt
Filed under: uncultured Mycobacterium sp.
Lineage: Bacteria; Bacillati; Actinomycetota; Actinomycetes; Mycobacteriales; Mycobacteriaceae
Description: bacterial SSU rRNA
Rfam family: Bacterial small subunit ribosomal RNA
Source: RNAcentral